UAGUAAGCAGAGAUUUGCUAAGAAAAAACAGUGCUUGACUACUGUGGUAGCCUUUGUAGAUGUCAUGUCAUGACUGGC
This is a microRNA precursor of Gallus gallus (chicken), 78 nucleotides long. NCBI's taxonomy places the organism in Eukaryota, Metazoa, Chordata, Aves, Galliformes, Phasianidae. The record is from Ensembl.